This 72-nucleotide transfer RNA is filed under the name bacterium. RNAcentral describes it as "tRNA-Phe". It matches the Rfam family "tRNA". Rfam says of the family: Transfer RNA (tRNA) molecules are approximately 80 nucleotides in length. Their secondary structure includes four short double-helical elements and three loops (D, anti-codon, and T loops). The record is from RNAcentral.
GCCGCGGUAGCUCAGUGGUAGAGCGAAGGCCUGAAGAGCCUUGCGUCGGGGGUCCAAUUCCCUCCCGCGGCA